GGAGCUUGCUCCACCGGAAAAAGAGGAGUGGCGAACGGGUGAGUAACACGUGGGUAACCUGCCCAUCAGAAGGGGAUAACACUUGGAAACAGGUGCUAAUACCGUAUAACAAUCGAAACCGCAUGGUUUUGAUUUGAAAGGCGCUUUCGGGUGUCGCUGAUGGAUGGACCCGCGGUGCAUUAGCUAGUUGGUGAGGUAACGGCUCACCAAGGCCACGAUGCAUAGCCGACCUGAGAGGGUGAUCGGCCACAUUGGGACUGAGACACGGCCCAAACUCCUACGGGAGGCAGCAGUAGGGAAUCUUCGGCAAUGGACGAAAGUCUGACCGAGCAACGCCGCGUGAGUGAAGAAGGUUUUCGGAUCGUAAAACUCUGUUGUUAGAGAAGAACAAGGAUGAGAGUAACUGUUCAUCCCUUGACGGUAUCUAACCAGAAAGCCACGGCUAACUACGUGCCAGCAGCCGCGGUAAUACGUAGGUGGCAAGCGUUGUCCGGAUUUAUUGGGCGUAAAGCGAGCGCAGGCGGUUUCUUAAGUCUGAUGUGAAAGCCCCCGGCUCAACCGGGGAGGGUCAUUGGAAACUGGGAGACUUGAGUGCAGAAGAGGAGAGUGGAAUUCCAUGUGUAGCGGUGAAAUGCGUAGAUAUAUGGAGGAACACCAGUGGCGAAGGCGGCUCUCUGGUCUGUAACUGACGCUGAGGCUCGAAAGCGUGGGGAGCAAACAGGAUUAGAUACCCUGGUAGUCCACGCCGUAAACGAUGAGUGCUAAGUGUUGGAGGGUUUCCGCCCUUCAGUGCUGCAGCUAACGCAUUAAGCACUCCGCCUGGGGAGUACGACCGCAAGGUUGAAACUCAAAGGAAUUGACGGGGGCCCGCACAAGCGGUGGAGCAUGUGGUUUAAUUCGAAGCAACGCGAAGAACCUUACCAGGUCUUGACAUCCUUUGACCACUCUAGAGAUAGAGCUUCCCCUUCGGGGGCAAAGUGACAGGUG
This 987-nucleotide ribosomal RNA is filed under the name Enterococcus faecium. Its description in RNAcentral is "bacterial SSU rRNA". It matches the Rfam family "Bacterial small subunit ribosomal RNA", at positions 75 to 1040 of the family's 1533-position model. The record is from RNAcentral. Lineage: Bacteria; Bacillati; Bacillota; Bacilli; Lactobacillales; Enterococcaceae.